Zea mays is the source of this 117-nucleotide non-coding RNA. The record is from RefSeq and is marked provisional. Lineage: Eukaryota; Viridiplantae; Streptophyta; Magnoliopsida; Poales; Poaceae.
CGCGGCGGGCGGUGACAGAAGAGAGUGAGCACACGGCCGGGCGGAACGGCACCGGCGGAUGGUGCCGUCGCGGACGCGUGCUCACUGCUCUAUCUGUCAUCCACUCUCUCCCCCGCU